RNAcentral lists this long non-coding RNA (348 nucleotides) under Triticum aestivum (bread wheat). RNAcentral describes it as "long non-coding RNA (TAES_LNC004325)". Lineage: Eukaryota; Viridiplantae; Streptophyta; Magnoliopsida; Poales; Poaceae. The record is from RNAcentral.
AUCUAGAUAACUCUGUCUCCAAAAGAGAUAAAUUAGUACUCACAAGCUGUUCUAGAUGACACAGACAGAUGGCUCUCACAAUACGAUUACAUUAAUGAAAAUAAAUGGAGGCAUCCAAUGCUAUAAGCGACAUUGUCGUCAAAUCCAUUCAGAAGUACAACAGACUCCAGAGCAUGUAUUUUUCAUUCCUUCAGGUUGGCAGCUAGCAGAUCCAUGGCAUUUUUCUUUCCCUUUAAAAUUAAAAGAACCGAAUUAGUCAUUGACAAAUAGUUUCUAACAACAAAUAGUUGAUUGUGAAUAUGUGUAGCACUUGGAGAAUAUCAAUGUAAGAAAUGAUAUGAGUUGGGG